Long non-coding RNA from Orbicella faveolata, 1150 nucleotides. RefSeq lists it as uncharacterized. The record is from RefSeq and is a predicted model, not a curated record. NCBI's taxonomy places the organism in Eukaryota, Metazoa, Cnidaria, Anthozoa, Scleractinia, Merulinidae.
GGAAAUUCAGUAAUGUGUCAUUCUCAGCACUAAUUUGGUCUUUCUUGAAGUGACAUUAAAAGGCCAUUUACGCAGGCCAUUUCUGCUUGUGCAGUUUUUGUCGCGAUUUCUACAGAAACUUUUGUUGCGCCUGAGUUUACAAUUCCAAAUUGCUCGUGUAAAUCAGCUAUGAUUUUAAUGCAAUUUCAGCGUGAUAUCGCCGGAGAUUUCGAAGUUACGACGAAAACAACACAAUCUCUGUUUAUAAGAUAUGCGUAAAUCCUCCGAUUCAAAACCUCCACUCAUUUCAUCACACUUCAUGGCAAUUGUUGCAGAUCGUACUAAAAUUGCACUGAAAUUGGGCGAACGCAACAAAACUUUAAACAUCUCUCGCGUAAAUGGUUUUAACGCUGACACAGUUCAGGAACAAAUCAAUGACGCAUUAUGCAUGCGAUAGUCUGGCAAUGAAGUCUCUUGAAGGCGGACAGUCUAUCUUAAUAGCUAACAUUUUGUCGGCCACGCCGGUUCUUUACAAAUAAGAUGGAUUAUCCAUGAAAAUUCGUCUCAGAAUUAAUCUCUGGAUAGAUAUGUAGCUGAAAACACACGCGCUCUUCACGCGCGCACACACGCAAGCGCCUCACACGCACACGCACGUGCACAUUUGGUCAGUCAUUAUCGCCCUAUGUUGUUUUGUAGGAGCAGCCCUCAAACUUAAAGAAAGCUGCAAAGCCUGAAAUUGACAGAACCUGCUUACACAAAGAACCAACGAGUAGAAGGGUAGCUGUAGCUGAUCAUGAUUGCUGCGAAGGCAAUCAAAGGUCCGUUGAGCUAACUCGUAUAACAGUUUUUCCGUUUUGCUAAAAAUAGGCACCUUAAGAUACCAGGACGGGACGAGCUAGGACGGCUGCCGGAAGUGAAGUGACUCAACCGGGCAUGCGCACGAGAACUCUCGACUCAUCUCUCUGCCGUCCUCAUCUCGUCGAGGACGCCAUUUCGCCCGACUAGCCGUCGUAUCGAAGACCCACUGUGCAGACGCUAUCACGAUUGCGCAAGCUCAAUACAAACUGUAUGCAUUGAGAAUACAUCAGUGUAAGUACAGUCGAUAAGUAAUUGUAAGAAUGAAUGCCAUGGAGUAUCUAUCGAGCAAAUAAAAUACACAUUUUCAAACUGA